GAUGAACGCUGGCGGCGUGCCUAAUACAUGCAAGUCGAGCGAACAGACGAGGAGCUUGCUCCUCUUACGUUAGCGGCGGACGGGUGAGUAACACGUGGAUAACCUACCUAUAAGACUGGGAUAACUUCGGGAAACCGGAGCUAAUACCGGAUAAUAUAUUGAACCGCAUUGUUCAAUAGUGAAAGACGGUUUUGCUGUCCAUUAUAGAUGGACCCGCGCCGCAUUAGCUAGUUGGUAAGGUAACGGCUUACCAAGGCAACGAUGCGGAGCCGACCUGAGAGGGUGAUCGGCCACACGGGAAGUGAGACACGGCCCAGACUCCUACGGGAGGCAGCAGUAGGGAAUCUUCCGCAAGGGGCGAAAGCGGGACGGAGCAACGCCGCGUGAGUGAUGAAGGUCUUCGGAUCGUAAAACUCUGUUAUUAGGGAAGAACAAAUGUGUAAGUAACUAUGCACGUCUUGACGGUACCUAAUCAGAAAGCCACGGCUAACUACGUG
RNAcentral lists this ribosomal RNA (497 nucleotides) under uncultured bacterium. RNAcentral's name for it is "partial 16S ribosomal RNA". It matches the Rfam family "Bacterial small subunit ribosomal RNA", at positions 28 to 507 of the family's 1533-position model. The record is from RNAcentral.